Amblyraja radiata (thorny skate) is the source of this 72-nucleotide long non-coding RNA. RefSeq lists it as uncharacterized. Lineage: Eukaryota; Metazoa; Chordata; Chondrichthyes; Rajiformes; Rajidae. The transcript has 3 exons. The record is from RefSeq and is a predicted model, not a curated record.
AGCAAGUAAGUUAAUCGGCCAAUAUUGACAUACAAGGAAUUGCCUUGGUGCACCGCCCACCAAACACAAAGU